CGCACGGGUGAGUAACACGUAUGCAACCUGCCUGCCACAGCCGGAUAAUCGGGAGAAAUUCCGUCUAAUACGGCAUAAUGCAUCGACGGGACAUCCUGUUGGUGCCAAAGGUUGAUUCCGGUGGCGGAUGGGCAUGCGGCGCAUUAGGUAGUUGGUAGGGUAACGGCCUACCAAGCCGACGAUGCGUAGGGGUUCUGAGAGGAAGGUCCCCCACAUUGGAACUGAGACACGGUCCAAACUCCUACGGAAGGCAGCAG
This 257-nucleotide ribosomal RNA is filed under the name uncultured bacterium. RNAcentral's name for it is "partial 16S ribosomal RNA". It matches the Rfam family "Bacterial small subunit ribosomal RNA", at positions 99 to 354 of the family's 1533-position model. The record is from RNAcentral.